Molecule: long non-coding RNA, 598 nt
Organism: Amphimedon queenslandica
Lineage: Eukaryota; Metazoa; Porifera; Demospongiae; Haplosclerida; Niphatidae
Exons: 3
Source: RefSeq, a predicted model, not a curated record
CUUAUGUGUAUGUGAUGUUGAUCUUUAAAAUAUUCAAAACAAAUAGUCAUACUGUAAUUAAUCUGAAAUACAUUAAAAUUGUUUUUCUUUGUAGACUUGGAAGGAGCUUGAGUUGCAGAUAACUGAUUUCACUAAUGAGGCAAAAGACAAUGUCAAGUUUAUUUACACGUUAGAGAAAUACUGUGAACCAUUGUACAAAUGUAAUCCGGUACAUGCAAGACUACAGAAGAUGAGUGCCAUUGCUCCAAUGAAUAUCUUCCUAAGACAAGAGAUUGGCCGAAUGCAAAGGGUCAUUACAAUAGUGAGGAACACUUUACAAGAUCUACAGCUGGCAAUAGAUGGCACUAUUGUUAUGAGUGAAACUCUUCGUAAUACUCUUGACAAUAUGUAUGAUGCAAGAAUCCCUACAGCCUGGAGAAAAGUUAGUUACAUUAUAUUGUGUGUUGAGUGAAGAAAAACUGGUUUAUAUUUUGUGGUUUUAAUUUUCUGUGGAUGGCAGUUUAUGAAGCCUGUAAUCACGAAAUUAUACACUAAAAAGACAAGAAUGAGAGAGGCAUUUUGUUGCCAAAUAUACACCAUCUUUCUAAUUGUGGCAACA